RNAcentral lists this ribosomal RNA (456 nucleotides) under uncultured bacterium. Its description in RNAcentral is "bacterial SSU rRNA". It matches the Rfam family "Bacterial small subunit ribosomal RNA", at positions 340 to 786 of the family's 1533-position model. The record is from RNAcentral.
UACGGGAGGUAGCAGGGGGAAUAUUGCACAAUGGGCGAAAGCCUGAUGCAGCUAUGCCGCGUGUAUGAAGAAGGCCUUAGGGUUGUAAAGUACUUUCAUCGGGGAGGAAAAAACAAAACUAAUAAUUUUAUUUCUUGACGUUACCCGAAAAAGAAGCACCGGCUAACUCCGUGCCAGCAGCCGCGGUAAUACGGAGGGUGCUAGCGUUAAUCAGAAUUACUGGGCGUAAAGAGCACGUAGGUGGUUUUUUUAAGUCAGAUGUGAAAUCCCUGGGCUUAACCUGGAACUGCAUUUUUGAAACUGAAAUACUAGAGUAUCGUAGAGGGAGGUAGAAUUCUAGGUGUAGCGGUGAAAUGCGUAGAUAUCUGGAGGAAUACCUGUGGCGAAAGCGGCCUCCUAAACGAAUACUGACACUGAGGGUGCGAAAGCGUGGGGAGCAAACAGGGAUUAGAUACC